GACGAACGCUGGCGGCGUGCUUAACACAUGCAAGUCGAACGGAAAGGCCCUGCUUUUGUGGGGUGCUCGAGUGGCGAACGGGUGAGUAACACGUGAGUAACCUGCCCUGGACUUUGGGAUAACUUCAGGAAACUGGGGCUAAUACCGGAUAGGAGCUCCUGCUGCUUGGUGGGGGUUGGAAAGUUUCGGCGGUUGGGGAUGGACGCGCGGGUCAUCAGCUUGUUGGUGGGGUAGUGGCUUACCAAGGCUUUGACGGGUAGCCGGCCUGAGAGGGUGACCGGCAACGUUGGGACUGAGAUACGGCCCAGACUCCUACGGGAGGCAGCAGUGGGGAAUAUUGCACAAUGGGCGGAAGCCUGAUGCAGCAACGCCGCGUGCGGGGUGAAGGCCUUCGGGUUGUAAACCGCUUUCGCCUGUGACGAAGCGUGAGUGACGGUAAUGGGUAAAGAAGCACCGGCUAACUACGUG
Molecule: ribosomal RNA, 468 nt
Filed under: uncultured bacterium
Lineage: Bacteria
Description: partial 16S ribosomal RNA
Rfam family: Bacterial small subunit ribosomal RNA
Source: RNAcentral